Molecule: unclassified non-coding RNA, 235 nt
Filed under: uncultured fungus
Lineage: Eukaryota; Fungi
Description: partial contains small subunit ribosomal RNA, internal transcribed spacer 1, and 5.8S ribosomal RNA
Rfam family: Eukaryotic small subunit ribosomal RNA (bases 1-73)
Source: RNAcentral
CCAAACUUGGUCAUUUAGAGGAAGUAAAAGUCGUAACAAGGUUUCCGUAGGUGAACCUGCGGAAGGAUCAUUAUCAAUCUUAGCGGAACCUUCAAUGUAGGAGGUUUUCGCGCAUGUAUAUAUUUAAAACCAACUCUAAUGAAUCAAAUGAGAAUUAUAUUUAUUGAAAUAAAUAUAUAAAAAGAUCACUUUCAACAACGGAUCUCUUGGCUCUCGCAUCGAUGAAGAACGCAGC